CAGGGAGACAACAAAAUGUUUAAUAUUAUUAUUUUGUCACCUUAGGUCGAUCGGUAUCUCACGUUUUUAAUUUAUUAAGAAUUUCAUUUCCUAAGUUUUUCUAGGUCACACCCAUUAUUUUUCCUGGGCCAUUAGCUCAGGUGGUUAGAGCGCACCCCUGAUAAGGGUGAGGUCCCUGGUUCAAGUCCAGGAUGGCCCAUAUCUCUAUGUUGGGGGUAUAGCUCAGUUGGUAGAGCGCCUGCUUUGCAAGCAGGAUGUCAGCGGUUCGAGUCCGCUUACCUCCACUGAUCACCACCUCUUCCAUAACCGGUAGAAAGGAAAUUUUUGAGUUGUGAUCAAAUUCUGAAAGAAUCUAGCUUCCUAAUGAAAUCAUUAAGAUGCUGGACUCAUUGAAUUAAUUUCAUUGUUUUCAGAGAACCUUGACAACUGCAUAGAUUAUUUUUAAAGACAAUAAGCAUCUUUAAUGAUGCAGAUUUAUUAUUUGUGCAAAUGCAUUAAUAACAAUUCUAUUAAGCUGAUGCUUCAAUAUUUGAAGUUAUU
RNAcentral lists this transfer RNA (540 nucleotides) under uncultured cyanobacterium. Its description in RNAcentral is "partial 16S-23S ribosomal RNA intergenic spacer". The stretch from base 212 to 284 matches the Rfam family "tRNA". Lineage: Bacteria; Bacillati; Cyanobacteriota. The record is from RNAcentral.